Molecule: long non-coding RNA, 5790 nt
Organism: Equus caballus (horse)
Lineage: Eukaryota; Metazoa; Chordata; Mammalia; Perissodactyla; Equidae
Source: Ensembl
CCAGAACCACCUGCAGGACACGCCGGAACCACUGGCUCGAAUCUCCGGAACCACUGCCGGACAUGCAAAAUCACCUGCCGGCUACGCCAGAACCACUUGGCGAACACUCCGGAAUCACCUGCCGGGCAUGCCGGAACCACCUCUCAGACAUGCCAUAACCACAUGCCAAUGACACCGGAAACACCUGCCGAGCAGGCUGGAACCACCUGCUCGACUCGCCACAGCCACCUGACGGACACGCCAAAAUCACCUGCCAGCUACACCAGAACCAAUCGGCAGGCAUUCCGCAACCACCUCCAGGACAGACCGGAACCACCUUCCGGACAGACCGGAACCACUGGAAACACUCGCAGGAACAACCUGCUUGACUCACCGGUCCCACCUGCCGGACACACCAAAAUCACCUGCUCGCUACACCAGAACCACUUGGCGGACAAGCUGGAAUCACAUGAAGGGCAUGCCGACACAAUCUCUCAGACGUGCGAGAACCUCGUGCCGGACACCCCAGAACCACCUGCCGGACAGACCGGAACCACCUGCCGGACACACCGGAACCACUGGCUCAACUCUCCGGAACCAACGCUGGACAUGCAAAAUCACCUGCCGGCUACGCCAGAACCACUUGGUGAACACUCCGGAAUCACCUGUCGGGCAUGCCGGAACAACCUCUCAGACAUGCCAGAAGCACAUGCCAAUGACACUGUAAGCACCUGCCAAGCACACCGGAACCACCUGCUUGACUCGUAAGAACCACCUGCCGAGCACGCCAAAAUCACCUGCCGGGUACGCCAGAACCAAUUGGCGGACACUCCGGAAUCACCUGUCGGGCAUGCCGGAACCAACUCUCAGAAUUGCCGGAACCAUGUUCCGGACACGCCGGUACCACCUGCCGAGUAUGCCGGAACCACCUGAUCCACUCCCAAGAACCACAUGCUGGACAUGCCGGAACCACCUGCCUGACAGGCCAAAAUCAUAUGACACUCCAGAAUCACCUGCAGGGCAGGCCAGCAGAACCUCUCAGAAGUGCCAGAAGCACGUGCCGGACAGCCCGGAACCAUCUGCUGGACAGACCGGAAAGACAGGAAACACUUGCUGGAACCACCUGCUUGACUCACUGGUCCCACCUGCCGAACAUGCAAAAUCACCUGCCGGCUACGCCAGAACCACUUGGCGAACAGUCUGGAAUCACCUGCCGGACAUGCUGGAACCACGUGCCAAUGACACCGGAAGCACCUGCCGAGCACACCGGAACCACCUGCUCGAAUUGCCAGAACCACCUUUUGGACACGCCAAAAUAACCAGCAGGCUAUGCCACAACGACUUGUUGGACAUUCCGGAAUCACCUGACGGUCAUGCUGGAACCACCUCUCAGAGGUACCACAAACACAUGCCAGAGACGGCGGAAGCACGUGCCGAGAAUGCCAGAAGUUCCAGCUCCACUCCACAGAACCGCCUGCCGGACACGCCAAAAUCUCGUGCCGGCUACGCCAGAACCACUUGGCGGACACUCCAGAAUCACCUGCCGGCAUGCCAGCACAACCUCUCAGAAGUGCCAGAAGCACGUGCCGGACAGGCCGUAACCAUCUCCCGGAGAGACCGGAACAACAGGAAACACUCGCCGGAACCACCUGCUUGACUCACCGGUCCCACCUGCCGGACAUGCCAAAAUCACCUGCCCGAUACACCAGAACCACUUGGUGGACAAGCUUGAAUCACGUGAAGGGCAUGCUGACACAACCUCUCAGACGUGCCACAACCUCGUGCCGGACACCCCAGAACCACCUGCCGGAAAGACGGGAACCACCUGCCGGACACCCCGGAACCACCGGCUCAAGUCGCCGGAACCACCGCGGGACAUGCAAAAUCACCUGCCGGCUACGCCAGAACCAUUUGCCGAACACUCCGGAAUCACCUGCCGGGCAUGACGGAACCACCUCUCAGACAUGCCAGAACCACAUGCCAAUGACACCGGAAGCACCUGCCGAGCACGCCAGAACCACCUGCUCGACAUGCCACAGCCACCUGCCGGACACGCCAAAAUCACCUGCCGGCUACACCUGAACCACUUGGCGGACACUUCAGAAUCACCUGCCGGGCAUGCCAGCACAACCUCUCAGAAGUGCCAGAAGCACAUGCCGGACAGGCCGGAACCAUCUCCCAGACAGACCGGAACCACGGGAAACACUCGCCGGAACCACCUGCUUGACUCACCGGUCCCACCUGCCGGACACGCCAAAAUCACCUGCCCGCUACACCAGAACCACUUGGCGGACAAGCCGGAAUCACGUGAAGGACAUGCACACACAACCUCUCAGACGUGCCAGAACCUCGUGCCGGACACCCCAGAACCACCUGCCGGACACACUGGAACCACCUGCUGGACACACCGGAACCACCGGCUCGACUCGCUGGAACCACCUACCUGACACGCCAAAAUCACCUGCCGGGUAUGCCAGAACCACUUGGUGGACACUCUGGAAUCAUCUGCCGGACAUCCCAGAACCAGCUCUCAGACAGACCAGAAUCACGUGCCGGACAUGCCGGAAGCACCUGCUGCGCAUGCCUGAGCCACCUGCUCGCCUCGCAAGAAACGCCUGCUGGACACGCCAAAAUCACCUGCCAGGUACGCCUCAACCACUCAGCGGACACUCCGGAAUCACCUGUCGGGCAUGCCGGAACCACCUCUCAGAGGUGCCAGAACCACAUCCCGGACACUCCGGAAUCACCUGUCGGGCAUGCCGGAACCACCUCUCAGACUUGCCAGAACCAUGUUCCGGACACGCCGGGACCACCUGCCGAGUAUGCCAGAACCACCUGCUCCACUCCACAGAACCGCCUGCGGGACAUGCCAAAAUCACCUGUCGGCUAUGCCAGAACCACACGGCAGACACUCCGGAAACACCUCCACGACAGACCAGAACCACCUGCCGGAUACGCCGGAACCACCGGCUCGAUUCGCAGGAACCCCCGCAGGACAAGCAAAAUCAGCUGCCGGCUAUGCCAGAACCACUCUGUGAACAAUCCCGAAUCACCUUCCGGGCAUGCCGGAACCACCUCUCAGACAUGCCAGAACCACAUGCCAAUGACACUGGAAGAACCUGCCGAGCACGCCAGAACCACCUGCCCGACUCGCCAGAACCACCUGACAGACACGCCAAAAUCACCUGCCGGCUACGCCACAACCAGUUGGUGAACACUUCGGAAUCACCUGCCGGGCUGGCUGGAACCACCUGCUGGUCACGCCCACAUCACCUGUCAGCUACGCCAGAACCACUUGGCGUACACUCCGGAAACACCUGUCGGGCCGGCCGGAACCACCUCUCAGAUGUGCCAGAACCAUGUGCCUGAGAUGCCGGAAGCACACCCCAACAGACCGAAACCACCUGCCAGAGCCGCCUGAACCACCUGCCGAGCACGCCGGAUCCACCUGCUCGACUCGUCGGAACCACCUACCUGACACGCCACAAACAACUGCUGGCUAUGCCAGUACCACUUGGCGAACCCUCCGGAAUCACCUGCCGGGCAUGCCGGAACCGCCUCUCAGACAUGCCAGAACCACAUGCCAAUGACACCGGAAGGACCUGCCGAGCACGCCGGAACCACCUCUCAGACAUGCCAGAACCACAUGCCAAUGACACUGUAAGCACCUGCCGAGCACACCGGAACCACCUGCUUGACUCGUCAGAACCACCUGCCGGGCACGCCAAAAUCACCUGCCGGGUAUGCCAGAACCACUUGGCGGACACUCCGGAAUCACCUGUCGGCAUGCCGGAACCACCUCUCAGACUUGCCGGAACCUUGUUCUGGACAUGCUGGUAACACAUGCCCGGUAUGCCGGAACCACCUGAUCCACUCCCCAGGAACACCUGCUGGACACGCCAAAAUCACCUGCCGGCUACGCCACAACCACUCGGCAGACAAUCUGCAACCACCUCCAGGACAGACCGGAACCACCUGCUGGACACGCCGGGACCACCUGCUGAGCAUGCCGGAACAACCUGCUUGACUCGCUGGAGCCACCUGCCGGACAUGCCAAAUCAGCUGCCGGCUAUGCCAGAACCACUUGCCGGACACUCCAAAAUCACCUGCCUGGCGUGCCGGAACCACCUGAUCCACUCCCCAGAACCACCUGCUGGACCCGCCUGAACCACCUGCCGGCUACACGGGAACCACUUGGCGGACACUCCGGAAUCACCUGCCGUGCAUGCCGGAACCACCCCUCAGACGUGCCUGAAAAACGUGCCGGACACGCCGGAACCACCUCCCGGACUAACCGGAACCACCUUUCGGACAUGCCUGAACCACCUUACGAGCACGCUGGAACCACCUGCUCGACUUGGUGGAACCAUCUGCUGGAGACACCAAAAUCACCUGCCGGCUACGCCAGAACCACUUGCCGACACUCCGGAAUAACCUGCCAUUCAUCCCGGAACCGCCCCUCAGAUGUGCCAGAACCAGGUGCUGGACGCCCCAGGCCUCUUCCGUGAAAGACUGGAACCACCUGCUGAGCAUUCUGGAAACACCUGCUCGACUCCCGGGAACCGCCUCUGGGGAAACUGUCAUAGAAAUGCAGGUAAAACGGCCUUUCUUGCCAGCCCUUAACUCGCCACUUUAGAACUUCUGCUUCUGCCACAAUUGCACCUUGCCAACCCAGCUCAGACGAAAUGCCUACAUCUUCCCCUGAAGCAACUGGCCUGAGUCCCAAAUGAUUGAGCGUCCACGUGCUUAGGAGGCGAUAGACUGCACGCCUUUUUCCAACCACCAUUGUGCACUGCUGGAGAGAGUGUCAGAAAGCAGCUAUGUCAGAAAGACCCCUUUGGUCUCAGCCGUGCCCUCCAUUGCUCUAGACGUGGAAUGCACAAUGCACUGGCUCCCCCCCUCAAGGGGCGACAAGCCACAGACCACCUUGCUUCCAUCUCUUUAGGAAGCUGAGAAGGAACUCACUUUCAACAGUGAUCUUACAGAGUCCAGGGAACAUCUCAUACAAAGGCAGCUGAAACGCCAUUUCUUUUCAGCCCUUAACUUGCCGAUUUGGAACUUCUGUUUCUGCCACAUUUCCACCUUGCCAUCCGGGCUCCGACGAAAUGCCUACAUCUUACCCUUCAGCAACGGGGACGAGGCCCAUAUGACUGUGCUUCCACAUGCUUAAGAGGAGAGAGACAGGCUUUUUACAAUCACGGUUGUGCACUGGUGGAGAGAGUGUCAGAAAGCACCUAUGUCAGAAAGGUCCAUUUGAUCUCAGCCAUGCCCUGAAUUGCUCUAGAGGAGGAAGGCACAAUGCACUGCCUCUGGCUCCACCCCUCAAUGGCAGACGAACCACACACCUUCUUGCGUCCAGCUCUUUAGGACGCUGAGAAAGAGCUCGCAUUCCAUAGUGCUCUUAGAGCGUCCAGGGAACAUCUCAUACAAAGGCAGCUGAACGCCGUUUCUUGCAGCACUUCACUCGCCGAUCUGGAACAUCUGCAUGUGCCACAUUUCCACCUUGUCAACCCGGCUCAGACGAAAUGCCUACAACUUCCCCUUAAGCAAUGGGGACGAGGCCCGAAUGAUUGUUUUUGCACCUGCUUAGUAGGAGAGAGACAAUAGGCUUUUAACCAACCGCCCUUGAGCAAUGGUUGGGGGAGUGCCAGAAAGCACCAAUGUCAGAAAGGCCCUUUACUCUCGGCCGUGCCCUCCAUUCCUCUAGAGGCAGGAGGCACAAGGCACUGGCACCACCCCUGAAGGGGAUCAGAAAGCACCUAUGGCAGAAAGCCCCCUUUGCUCUCAGCCGUGCCCUCCACUGCUCUGCAG